UGCCAAGCGCCUGUUAACAAAUUAAUGCCCAAUCCCGUCAGGUCCGGAAGGAAGCAGCGGUUAGUAUUUAAUUUGUGUAGCAGGUCAGCUUGGCAUUU
RNAcentral lists this signal recognition particle RNA (98 nucleotides) under Ignavibacteria bacterium GWB2_35_6b. RNAcentral describes it as "signal recognition particle sRNA small type". It matches the Rfam family "Bacterial small signal recognition particle RNA". From Rfam's summary of the family: The signal recognition particle (SRP) is a universally conserved ribonucleoprotein involved in the co-translational targeting of proteins to membranes. Archaeal SRP consists of a 7S RNA and homologues of the eukaryotic SRP19 and SRP54 proteins. The record is from RNAcentral. Lineage: Bacteria; Pseudomonadati; Ignavibacteriota; Ignavibacteria.